This 247-nucleotide ribosomal RNA is filed under the name uncultured bacterium. RNAcentral describes it as "partial 16S ribosomal RNA". It matches the Rfam family "Bacterial small subunit ribosomal RNA", at positions 523 to 769 of the family's 1533-position model. The record is from RNAcentral.
AUACGGAGGGUGCGAGCGCUGUUCGGAAUUAUUGGGCGUAAAGCGCGUGUAGGCGGUUUGCUCAGUCUGAUGUGAAAGCCCUGGGCUCAACCUGGGAAGUGCAUUGGAUACUGGAAGACUUGAAUACGGGAGAGGGUAGUGGAAUUCCUAGUGUAGGAGUGAAAUCCGUAGAUAUUAGGAGGAACACCGGUGGCGAAGGCGGCUACCUGGACCGAUAUUGACGCUGAGACGCGAAAGCGUGGGGAGC